AAGUCACUUCCCCCGCCGGCUCCGACAGCGGGUUGGUCCGCUGAGGGGCGUUGGGUGAGGCGGAAGAGCAGACGGGGAUCCGGAAGGCGUUGUCGGUGACAUCACGGAGAGGGCGAUUUCUAUGUAGAUGAGGCAGCGCAGGGGCUGCUGCUUCGCCACCUGCUGCUUCGCCACGAAAGAGUUCCCGUGCCGUGGGAGCAAGUCUGGGACCUCUGGUCGGAACGGAGAGUCGCAGCUGUGUGUUAGGGCUAGGAUGGCUCCGGGAUGCGCGUGAGGCAAGUGACCUUGCGUGUAAAGGGGCCCGCCUGGCAGGACGACUGAGCAAGUCCUUGGAAAACCAGAGAUAUUAGAGCGGUGAAUCGCGCUGGUCACGUUGGACACCUGCGCGUUAGGAGAUUCUGGAGCCAGAGGGAGAGACCCCAGAAACUCCCCGGUCGGCGACCCAGCCCGAGACGCCUGGGGUCCCAAGGGAAGCUGAACGCCCGGUGGGCUCCCGGGAUGGUUCUUCCGGUUCUUUGUGCCGCCUUCACCCAGUGAAGGAGCCUGUAUCCACCCUGCCCAGUCGCUGUUGGGCUGCUGCGGAGCUUCCGCUGCCAUCUUCGGAUCCUGUGUUCCGCCCGGGGCUCCACCAGGGCAGGGAUGGUGGUGAGGGUCGCUCGUGGGUCCCCUGGCAGGGAGCAGGGUCUGGCACUCACAAGGGCGCACGACUAGGACUUGUCGAAUGAAUCCUUUGUCGCCUUUAGCUUUUAGUCCUUUGAAGAGAGAAUGGGGAAAUGGAGAGAGAACCUGAAAGAGCCCCAAACUCGAGGACCUAUUGCUCCCCAAGAAUAACAUCUUCCAGAACUAGACAGAAAACUAGGCGUCUGGGAACCCUGAAAUCCUUGGAGGAGUAGAUCAUCAUGACCCUCUGUGUUCCUUUUGGCAAAUGACUUGCUUCCAUUGUUUGUUUGUUCAAUUGUCUGUUUGUUAAAUAAAUAAAACCCUUUUCAUGUAUCUUUAAAAUUA
Molecule: long non-coding RNA, 1005 nt
Filed under: Homo sapiens (human)
Lineage: Eukaryota; Metazoa; Chordata; Mammalia; Primates; Hominidae
Description: HSALNT0295617
Source: RNAcentral